This is a long non-coding RNA of Osmerus eperlanus (European smelt), 732 nucleotides long. RefSeq lists it as uncharacterized. NCBI's taxonomy places the organism in Eukaryota, Metazoa, Chordata, Actinopteri, Osmeriformes, Osmeridae. The transcript is spliced from 8 exons. The record is from RefSeq and is a predicted model, not a curated record.
UCUUCCACGCGGUGAAUUCUUCGGGAGAAGUUCAAGAAAAAAAUCUGCACCAACAUACUGUACUUUGAAAGGCGUAGCCUCACACACGAGGAUGGGUGCUGCAGAAAUGACGGAGGCUAAAGCACUUCGCUUGGGUCAUUCGCGUUUUCCAACCGGGUUAACUUGACGUCACUGGAUGGCUCUACUCAGUAAGUAUAAACCAAAUCAGCAGAGCAGGCCAGAUGACCCAUGGUUUUUAAACCAGAUCCCCCUGCUCAACCUCUAGGCUUUAGCUCAGAGGGCUAACAAGGCUAAGUUUCUGCAUGAAGGCCCCCGACUUUGUUGUCAUGACAGCUGCAGCACCACUGGAUGGUUGAGGGACAAAAUGGCUGACUUUUCCUGGUACUUCUAAGAUGAAAGCUGACAUGUGAAGGAAAUCCUUCUGUCUCCUUGGUAACGACAUGAAGUGGAUUGUGAGCUGCGUGGAUUCUUAACCAUCUUGACACUGGGUUGGUCCACUGGGGAGAUGAGUCCUGGUUGCCUUUGGAGAAAGAAGGGUGUUCAUGUGAAGGUUAAGCUACCAGCAGACAGUGCUGAUGGUGGAUUUUGUAUAUUCUCCCUUGUUUUUGGAUAGACCAUUUGAGGCCCUGUGCUUCCAAACAGCCUUUUCCAACAGAUGUUAUAAAAAUAAAUUGUUCUUGAAUUCAGUUUCAAAGGUUUUUGUAAUUGCCUCAUGACUUAAAAUGACAAUUG